RNAcentral lists this long non-coding RNA (2674 nucleotides) under Nicotiana tabacum (common tobacco). RNAcentral's name for it is "long non-coding RNA (NTAB_LNC003416)". Lineage: Eukaryota; Viridiplantae; Streptophyta; Magnoliopsida; Solanales; Solanaceae. The record is from RNAcentral.
UCUUCCGCUUGUUUAAAACUUCGCUGCUUAUAAGCUAUUAUUUCAUAAUUGUAAAGGAUUAAAAAUGGGAAAAAGGGAUAAUUUGUUCAAACUGUUAGCUUGUCUAACUUUCAUUAGUAGGCGCCAUCACGACUCCCGAGGGUGGAAAAUCUGGGUCAUGACAUCAACACACAAAAGACUCGAGGUCGUUCCCACCUAAUAAAAGAAAAAUAAAAUACUAUGAGUUCUACUUUCGGCCUCCAAAUACAAAUACUUCGGGGCAUAACCCAGAUAAAAAUAUAUACAGAGUCUAUGGGACAUUCCCCUAAAUAUAAACUAAAGGGAACGACCUCUCACCUUGGAUAAAAUAAUAGAAAGGCCUUAAAGUUUGCCUACCCAAUUGUGGUCGACCUAAGCAUGCUCCUAGCGAUUGAGAAAAAUAGAAAUAAAAUUAAACUAAAGUAAAUAAAACUCAUUUCUUUUUCACCUUCUUUUAACUCUUCAUUUCAUGUAUUUGACCCACCUCAAUUUCUAAAACGCGCGAGCAAUUUGAAUCACUAAUGGGAUAGGCCUCUACCAAACUCCAAGGCUCAAUGCCACAUAAACAUGCCACAGAAUAACUGUGAAGAGCAAAUAAACAUCCAAACAUAGGAAGUGAACAAACAAACAAGAGGAAAGGUAGGUAAUAAGACAAAAGAAAUGGUGGAUUGAAAUAUGAUAAGAGCUUUAAAACUUCUCCUUAAUCUCAUCCCUGUACCCACAUCUCCUAAUUUUCUUAAAACCAAAUAAACUCCAAACAACAUCUAACAAAUAAUCCAAGCUAAAAUCAAAUAAGCUUCAAACAACAUUUAAUAGAUAAUUCUACGAUUGAUUAAGCCUGCAGAACUCAACAACAAACAUUGAAUUUAAUUCUUCACUUCUUAUGAUCUGACUAACUCAAACUGAUGAUCCAAAAUUCCCACACAAAUGCCAGCAGUGAUAAAUUAGCAUUCCCACCACAACAUAUUAAACUAGUCAAGGUAGAAAGGGAAAAUUCCAACAUGAGAUCAAAUUCGGCGCGAAGCAACAUGAUAAGCUCAUGACUACUAAAUAGUAAGGUUUUAAAUGAGUUAGGAUUCAACAACCAAGAAGAAAACAAUUUCAAGGGAGUGAGGAUUAGGUACACAAGACUAGAUUAACUAAAAAGAAGACGAAGGGCAAUGCAUUCUGCUAGAACCACAACAAGAUUUAUGAAAUAGGCACAGAGCUCCAACUAAUAGCCAGAAGAACUAAUUUUAUAACCAGGCAAACAAACAGGAGCAAGGGAAACUAAUAAUCACUCAAUUGAACAUCAAUAUAUCCUACAGGAAAGAAACAAAAAUAUGAAAAUGCACCAGAAAUCUUUAUGCACCAAAGAACUGUCCCAAAACGCGUGGUGGAGUGUCGUUAUCCUAUACAAAUGGAAGCUAAAUAAACUGAUUUGGAAUUAAUUGAAGGCGUUGGAACUAUAUGAACUGAUUUUUUGCACCUAAAUUCUAGAAGAUCAGCAUUACAAACUCAAGAAAUCAAAAGCAAAGAUUUGACCAUUUCUGAACUUAACGGGGAUAUCAGACCCUCAUUUGAAGGGAAUGAUCACACUUAAGCCCCCACAAAAAUUGAAGCAAAUGGGAUGAAAUAGAGACAUACUAAUCUGGAUUGUAGCGACUUGAACAAUGAUAGUUAUGGCUUAAGUAUCGAUUUUAUUACUCAGACAGCACAAAAUAAUAAGAACAAAACUCGAAUAUUUCCAUCAAGAGCAGAACUACAUUUGAAACACAUAUUCAAACACAAAUCCAUUCAAAACUGUCUAUUAAGCACAUAUAAACUCAUUCUAUACCCUUAAGAUGUUGUAGACACUAAUGAAUCCCAAACGACCACCAUAGCUCUUAUCAUAUUUCAAACAACCCCAAAAUAGAUUAAGAAAGAUUAGAGAUAAACCUGAAUCAGCAGACACUUUUAAUUAACUUUGCUCGAACGCUAAAUACACGUGAAAUCCAGCAGCGAAGAUCAAAACCAACAGCAACAAAAAAAAACAGGAAUCCCGAGCCACAGACGACCCUCAAGUUAGCGACUCGAUCACUUGAACCUCGGGCAUCAACGACUUCAACAACCUUGGCUCGACUCCAUUUACUAACAUAGAUUGAAGAUGAAACUGAAAUCCGACUCUACACUCACUAGAAAACAGAAACGUAAAAGGAAUCUUUUGAAAUGACCUAAAAUCUAAAAUCAAACUCGAAGAUGAGAAGAAGCUCAAUUUUCUUCUCCAAAUCUUAGAGCAGAGAAGAAGAGCCCCUUUUAAAAACCCCUAAUUCUCCUCCCAAACCCACAAAUAUAUACUCCAUCUCGAAACUUCUAUACUUGUCUUCCAAGAAAACCCAAAAAUCUUCCAAACACAUCCAAAAUUCGGUUUUUUGAUCAGUAAAGGACAAGUGGAGGGAGUAGAUUGUGUUUAACUCAAUUCUAUGCCCCCAAUUAAUCCUAAUCUAGUCUUCAAAUGAAAUUCGGGUGAGAUGAGCGUAUGAGAGAGAGGCGGCCUCGAUUUGUCAGAGUUUGUUACGGAUUCAGCUGACGUGGAAGGAAUAUGAGGGGAGGGGACCAUGGAGGGUUCGUUUAUGUUGGGGUUUGGGUUGGGUUAAGGUGGGAGAAGGGUUUGAGGGAGAAUAGGAGUGCGGCUGAG